CCUACGGGAGGCAGCAGUAGGGAAUUUCGGCAAUGGGGGCAACCCUGAUCUAGCCAUGCCGCGUGAUCGAUGAAGGCCUUAGGGUUGUAAAGAUCUUUCAGAUGGGAAGAUAAUGACGGUACCAUCAGAAGAAGCCCCGGCUAACUCCGUGCCAGCAGCCGCGGUAAUACGGAGGGUGCAAGCCGUUACUCGGAAUCACUGGGCGUAAAGGAUGCGUAGGCUGGAAAUCAAGUCGAAAGUGAAAUCCAACGGCUCAACCGUUGAACUGCUUUCGAAACUGGUUACCUAGAAUAUGGGAGAGGUAGAUGGAAUUAGUGGUGUAGGGGUAAAAUCCGUAGAUAUCACUAGGAAUACCGAUUGCGAAGGCGAUCUACUGGAACAUUAUUGACGCUGAGGCAUGAAAGCGUGGGGAGCAAACAGGAUUAGAUACCCUGGUAGUCCAACGCCCUAAACGAUGCACACUAGUUGUUGCGAUGCUAGUCAUUGCAGUAAUGCACUUAACAGAUUAAGUGUGCCGCCUGGGGAGUACGGUCGCAAGAUUAAAACUCAAAGGAAUAGACGGGGACCCGCACAAGCGGUGGAGCAUGUGGUUUAAUUCGAAGAUACACGAAGAACCUUACCUGGGCUUGAUAUCCUAAGAAUCCUGUAGAGAUACGGGGAGUGCUAGUUUUACUAGAACUUAGAGACAGGUGCUGCACGGCUGUUCGUCAGCUCGUUGUCGUGAGAUGUUGGGUUAAGUUCCCGCAACGAGCCGCAACCCUCGUGAUUAGUUGCUAACAGUUCGGCUGAGCACUCUAAUCAGACUGCCUUCGUAAGGAGGAGGAAGGUGAGGACGACGUUCAAGUCCAUCAUGGCCCUUAUGCCCAGGGCUACACACGUGCUACAAUGGCUAGGACAAAGAGGCGCGAUACUGCGAAGUGGAGCAAAUCUUAAAACCUAGUCUCAGUUCGGAUUGGAGUCUGCAACUCGACUCCAUGAAGCUGGAAUCGCUAGUAAUCGUAGAUCAGAUAUGCUACGGUGAAUAC
RNAcentral lists this ribosomal RNA (1025 nucleotides) under uncultured Sulfurospirillum sp. Its description in RNAcentral is "bacterial SSU rRNA". It matches the Rfam family "Bacterial small subunit ribosomal RNA", at positions 338 to 1369 of the family's 1533-position model. Lineage: Bacteria; Pseudomonadati; Campylobacterota; Epsilonproteobacteria; Campylobacterales; Sulfurospirillaceae. The record is from RNAcentral.